Molecule: unclassified non-coding RNA, 232 nt
Filed under: uncultured fungus
Lineage: Eukaryota; Fungi
Description: sequence contains ITS1, 5.8S rRNA gene
Rfam family: 5.8S ribosomal RNA (bases 184-232)
Source: RNAcentral
UCUCCGUAGGUGAACCUGCGGAGGGAUCAUUACUGAGUGAGGGCUUCGGUCCGACCUCCAACCCUUUGUGAACCAAACUUGUUGCUUCGGGGGCGACCCUGCCGCUUCGGCGGUGCGGCGCUCCCGGUGGCCCAAAAAACUCUUGUUUUGUAUGGCCUAUCAGAAAUACUAUCUAAUAGUUAAAACUUUCAGCAACGGAUCUCUUGGUUCUGGCAUCGAUGAAGAACGCAGC